RNAcentral lists this long non-coding RNA (399 nucleotides) under Setaria viridis. RNAcentral describes it as "long non-coding RNA (SVIR_LNC000864)". Lineage: Eukaryota; Viridiplantae; Streptophyta; Magnoliopsida; Poales; Poaceae. The record is from RNAcentral.
UUACUUGCAUAGAGCACAUAAUAUUCAGAAUGAUUAAGCCUAUUAAAUCAAUCAAAGAUCAAGAAAAAACUUUUCACAAAAGACCUCGCAAAAACUUCUAAACUUUGCAAGAAAGAUUUUACAAUAUCUUUUCAAAAAAUAUUUAGCAAAAAGUGUUUUUCAUAAAGUUAUGUGCAAAGUUUUCCAAAAAAGGAUAUUACAAAAGUUUAAGAAAUGUUUUCUUUAGCAAAGAAUUGUACCAAACCUCUUUCACUAAAGAGUUUGAAAAAACUUACUCCAAAAUUAGAGAACUUUUCACACCAUAAAUUUUAAAAAAAUAAGAAAAAGGAAAUGGCACAUUAAAAGUAGAGUAGUGAGCCCUCGCUGACAUAGAAAAACGAAAUCAAAAGUAUCUUCUCA